ACGUAGGGUGCGAUCGUUAAUCGGAAUUACUGGGCGUAAAGCGUGCGCAGGCGGUUUUGUAAGACAGAUGUGAAAUCCCCGGGCUUAACCUGGGAACUGCGUUUGUGACUGCAAGACUUGAGUGCGGCAGAGGGGGGUAGAAUUCCACGUGUAGCAGUGAAAUGCGUAGAGAUGAGGAGGAACACCGAUGGCGAAGGCAGGUCCCUGGGUUGACACUGACGCUCAUGCACGAAAGCGUGGGGAGCAAACAG
This 251-nucleotide ribosomal RNA is filed under the name uncultured prokaryote. RNAcentral's name for it is "partial 16S ribosomal RNA". It matches the Rfam family "Bacterial small subunit ribosomal RNA", at positions 525 to 775 of the family's 1533-position model. The record is from RNAcentral.